AAGCUGGAGAAAGUCCGGUCUAGGUAAGAACCAAGUCGCCUAGUAGCUGACAGGCAGCUAGUGGAGAAAUCCUAAGGUUGAAGCCCUGUGACAAAGUAACUACAAAUAGAAGUGCGAGCGAAUCAGCAGACCGUAACAUAA
This 141-nucleotide non-coding RNA is filed under the name Bacillus sp. 491mf. The record is from RNAcentral. Lineage: Bacteria; Bacillati; Bacillota; Bacilli; Caryophanales; Bacillaceae.